RNAcentral lists this ribosomal RNA (253 nucleotides) under uncultured bacterium. RNAcentral's name for it is "partial 16S ribosomal RNA". It matches the Rfam family "Bacterial small subunit ribosomal RNA", at positions 524 to 776 of the family's 1533-position model. The record is from RNAcentral.
UACGAAGGGGGCUAGCGUUGCUCGGAAUCACUGGGCGUAAAGGGUGCGUAGGCGGGUCUUUAAGUCAGGGGUGAAAUCCUGGAGCUCAACUCCAGAACUGCCUUUGAUACUGAGGAUCUUGAGUACGGGAGAGGUGAGUGGAACUGCGAGUGUAGAGGUGAAAUUCGUAGAUAUUCGCAAGAACACCAGUGGCGAAGGCGGCUCACUGGACCGGUAUUGACGCUGAUGUGCGAAAGCGUGGGGAGCAAACAGG